Molecule: long non-coding RNA, 1489 nt
Filed under: Monodelphis domestica (gray short-tailed opossum)
Lineage: Eukaryota; Metazoa; Chordata; Mammalia; Didelphimorphia; Didelphidae
Description: lncRNA (ENSMODG00000041236.1)
Source: RNAcentral
UGUAAAAACUGCAUUGUAAUUUCAGUCCAGUACAACUUUCAUUAGGAAGGUUUUCCCUGGCCAGUAAUGAAUAUUGGUUCCAUUAAUUUGAACAUCUGGGUGUCUGUACUGACUUUAUGAAGUGCACCACUUCAAUUGAAGCCCCCACUCCCCCCCCAGUGAAAUCUCAAGGCCCAGGUCCAGGAGGUAAGGACUACAGAGAGGGCUCCUAUGACAGAGUGUAUCUGUGUGUGUGCUUGAGAGGGGGAGAUAUCUCUGGGCUCACUGUAUACAGCUAGGCCAGAGCCCGUGAAGGAGUCUUGAACCCUAAUCCCCUUCAGGGGUGUUUCUGAAUCUGGACUCAGAGAGUAUACAAUCCUUAUCUCCCAUGAGGUAUUGGGUCAGAAAUAUGAGGAAGCGAUUGAUGCCUUCUCCGGAGUCUUCCCCUGAUCCUGAGAUCCCAGACAAAUUUUGGAACCAUCUGUUCUGAAAAUCAGAUACAGUUCAAGCUAAAGAAUUCCCCCAAAAGGGGCUGAGAGCAGCAGAAAUCAACUCAAUUGCAGGCAUGGCCAUGCCUUAGGACCAGGCCCUCCUGAUUGCACUGAACCUAAAUAAAUACCCUCCUGAGCAAAUCUAAUGCUGAAACCCAUUCACCAAAUCCUAAGGGAAUAUGCGGAUGAGAUCCUCCCAUAUCCUUCAAAGGAAGAUGGAGAGGAAAUCACACACCCAGCCCAAAUGGAGGGAUCCAACCAGCUAACAUCUUGAUGGAUACUAUUCGAGUUGAAAGAUCAUUAUCUUUCACACAAGCAAGAGAGCCUAAAUGUAAUCCCUUCACUAUUGGAUGCACAAAACAGUACGCUCCUGUCUGUGGUACUGAUGGACGUACCUAUUCCAGUGAAUGCGUUCUGUGUAAGGAAAAUGUGAAAGACAUCAGUCAAAAACGAUGUUGUUUGAAGGGUCUGGCAAUGUUUAACCCAGGGAACAGAAUAUUUAAAGAGAAGAGAUUAAUCUCUGCUGUCAAUAUCAGAAGAGCUUCUGAGGUGCAGAAGAUAUUCCAGAAACAGAAGCAAUGAGUAAAAGUUGUCAAGAAACUGAUAUUGGAUCCAAAUUAAAAACUUCUGAUUAAAAACAUCUGACCAUCAGUGAAAUAGAUGAUGUUCUAAGCUCCCUUCCAAACUUUACAUUUUCUAUGGUAAGAUUCCUUUCUCCUCUAAUGUUCUAUCUUGUCCUUGUUCUGCUGAUGACUUUCUAGGCAGAGGUUUUUUGUUUGUUUGUUUGUUUGUUUGUUUGUUUUUAUCCCUUCGCACUGUAGAUUUGUCUUAAAUGAAAGUGAUUCACAUUGCUUUAUCUUUUCACUUCUCUUCCAGGAAAAGAGAGACACACGUCCUCAUCGAAAAAGUUGGGCAAUGCUGAGGAAACAAAAAAAUUCUGGAACUUCCAGGGGUGGUAUGAUGGCUAGCCAGCUUGAGUUUCUAAUAAAUGCAUGAGAACGAUUGCUGCUCUUUAGUGA